CAAAGGCAUGGUCCCAACCUUACUAUCAGCUGUAACACAACUUACACAUGCAAGUCUCCGCAGCCCGGUGAAUAUGCCCUCAAUCCCCCUCCCGGGGACGAGGAGCGGGUAUCAGGCACAAAUAUUUUAGCCCAAGACGCCUAGCCAAGCCACACCCCCAAGGGAAUUCAGCAGUGAUAAACAUUAAGCCAUAAGUGAAAACUUGACUUAGUUAGUGUUAACAGGGCCGGUAAAACUCGUGCCAGCCACCGCGGUUAGACGAGAGGCCCUAGUUGAUAUAACAGCGGCGUAAAGAGUGGUUAAGGAUAAACAAAUUUUUUAAAGCCAAAUGGCCCCUUGGCCGUCAUACGCUUCUGGGCAUCCGAGGCCCUAUUUACACGAAAGUAGCUUUAAACAUACCCGCCUGACCCCACGAAAGCUGAGAAACAAACUGGGAUUAGAUACCCCACUAUGCUCGGCCAUAAACCAAGACAUCCACCUACAAUUAGAUGUCCGCCAGGGUACUACGAGCAACAGCUUAAAACCCAAAGGACCUGACGGUGUCUCAGACCCCCCUAGAGGAGCCUGUUCUAGAACCGAUAACCCUCGUUUAACCUCACCACCUCUAGCCACCCCAGCCUAUAUACCGCCGUCGUCAGCUUACCCUGUGAAGGGAUAAAAGUAAGCAAAAUGGGCACAACCCAGAACGUCAGGUCGAGGUGUAGCGCAUGAAGUGGGAAGAAAUGGGCUACAUUUUCUAUUAUAGAAUACUACGAACACGCACCAUGAAAGUAGUGCUUGAAGGAGGAUUUAGUAGUAAAAGGGAAACAGAGUGUCCCUUUGAACCCGGCUCUGAGACGCGUACACACCGCCCGUCACCCUCCCCGUCAAAAUCUACUAAAAAUACCUAAUACAAUAAUAACAACAAGGAGAGGCAAGUCGUAACAUGGUAAGUGUACCGGAAGGUGCACUUGGAUCAAACC
This 962-nucleotide non-coding RNA is filed under the name Onychostoma lepturus. RNAcentral's name for it is "Onychostoma lepturum 12S ribosomal RNA". It matches the Rfam family "Bacterial small subunit ribosomal RNA". The record is from RNAcentral. Lineage: Eukaryota; Metazoa; Chordata; Actinopteri; Cypriniformes; Cyprinidae.